UCUACAUUGCCUAUUAUUUCCGGGUUUCGGACGAGGCUGUCAGCCUUGCAGUGUGUGUGUAAUAUAGGGCAUUUGCUUUCAUUCACGGUUUAUUUUUCCAUUUAAAGACCGCCAAAACCGAACUCUUUGUAGUUAAUCUCUCGAUCGGUAAUGGAAAACGCUCGUUGUUUUUCCAACCGUUUUGCCGACUACGAAGGUGCGCUUGUCGCAGGUCAGGGAAUCGAGACAGUGGUACCCGCUGUCAUAGCGACCAUAGAUAAAAUAUUGAAGAAGGUUGAUUUAAAUGCUUGUGAUGGAGGGCUGUACGAUGGUCCAGCGGGAGUGGCGUACAUGCUCUACCACGUCUCCGAGUGCCCUCUGUUCUCAAAGCAAAGAGAUAAUUAUCUCAAGACAGCCAAGCAGAUCAUUGACGUAUCUGUGAGAUACGUGGAUGUGGAGCCAGACCAAAAUAUGCGUGCCGCCUUUCUCCUCGGCGGGGCAGGUAUAUAUGCUGUGGCCGCGAUGGUCUACAAAGCCUUGGGUUUGUCAGACUUUGUCAAGCCGCUGACAAAAUUUCGUAAUCUGUGGAAGGUGUGCGCGCCCAUCAACUUCAUGGAGUGCGGCUCAGAUGAGCUUUUCGUAGGCCGUGCGGGGUACCUUUGCGCUGCCCUAGUGCUCAAACAGAAGUUGGCGAUAGAGAUUCUUAGCAUGGAUCAAAUCACGGCCAUAUGCCAAGCCAUCAUUGAGUCUGGCAAACAGUAUGCCAGGAGGAGAAGAAAGCCCUUUCCUCUCAUGUUCACCUACUACGGCACCGAAUACCUCGGUGCAGCCCACGGGCUGUCAUCAGUGCUUCAGAUGCUGCUGUCCUACCACGAGGUGCUUAGCGGAGCCGAGAGAGACCUGGUGUGGCACAGUGUGAACUUCCUCAUGAACCAGGAGCAGAACUGUAACUGGCCGGCCGAGCUGGGCGCUAUGAUAAAGAAGGAGAACGAACUGUUGCACUGGUGCCAUGGGGCUCCUGGUGUGGCAUACCUGUUUGCCAAGGCCUACCUGAUAAACAACAAGCCCCAGUAUCUGGACACGUGCAUCCGCUGUGGAGAGCUGGUCUGGGAGAAGGGGCUGUUGAAGAAGGGUCCGGGCAUCUGCCACGGGGUGGCCGGCAGUGCCUACGUCUUCCUCCUCCUCUACCGCCUCACAGGAAACAGGAAGUACAUCUACCGAGCACAGAGGUUUGCAGAGUUCCUGUUCACGAAUGAGUUCAAGGCAGGUUCCAGCUCGGUUACCAGUAUUUACAGUCUCUUCGAGGGCCUCUCGGGCACUGUCUGCUUCCUGGUAGAUAUCCUCCAGCCUGACCAGGCAGAGUUCCCACUUUUUAGUAUCUAUGUGUGAAGGCCCACUGAGUCAUUGCUCCUGUUUGAAUAUUCUCAAUGGUUUGCUUAACCCUUUGUGGAAGAAAAUAUAGAAACAAUUGCUUUCAGGCUUUAUUACAUUUUGUAUGUGUUUCACUUUGGUUCCUAUUGUUGUGAAAUGGUUAGUCAGUCAAAUUAAAUAUUGAUAUUGUAGCUAUUUUUAUUGUUAGUAUAAGUACAGAGUGGUUGUACAUUUCUACCUUGAAAAUAGUUAUAUUCUGUAAAAAAAUACAUGCACACAAACACCACACCGUUAGUCAACAGUACACUAUUCCAAGUUAGGUGCAAGCCCUUCUUAAUAGGAUUGGUGAGAAGAACUCAAAUAACAGCCACAGAAUGCUUUUUACUGCCUCCAAAGCCUCGCCUGGCAUAACUGGCCGGAACGAGAACUACACUCUAUAGAGCACCAACCCUCAAUCCUUUCUUUAAGCCUGUUUCUUUUAUACAGACUGUGGAGGCUGAUUAAAAUGCCCAGUUUACUAUUUGGACCUGCAAUAUUUGAACUUGCCUUUGCUAGUUUGAAUGUAGUAUUGUGUAUUGUAGGCAAAUUCAAAGUACAUCACAAUGUACAGUAUAUUGGGUUUUUGAAGAAAACCUUUACAUCGAAGUUGCAGCCUAGUUCUUUUGAGAUUGAGAAACCCUGUUAUAUGUACAGUAUAUGCCAUUUGGUCUUGGUUUAAUUAUUUAUUGUUAUAGCCUAUAUUGCAUGGUCAAUUAAUGUGCAGUUAAUUCACAAUCAUUUAGAAACGUAUUACUAUUAAACUAUUCCAAAAUGUAAUUUGUUUUGUUAUUUAAUGUUUUAUAACGCCAACUAACAUGGAGACUGACUUUGACUGCUGACUGCUGUGGAAGCAAAUAAGUGACAAUGUUUUGAAUUUUAAAAGGCUUGGAAUACCUUAUACUGAAAUGUAAACACCACCGAAUUCAUAGCAUCAAAAUAUUUUACUUAGAAAACCAUACCUGAAUUAAGUGAGUAAGAUUAUAAUAUGAUUUGAUUUCAGUGUAAA
RNA transcript from Osmerus eperlanus (European smelt), 2395 nucleotides. It is a transcript of the gene named lanC-like protein 3, with no coding region annotated. The transcript is spliced from 6 exons. The record is from RefSeq and is a predicted model, not a curated record. Lineage: Eukaryota; Metazoa; Chordata; Actinopteri; Osmeriformes; Osmeridae.